This 405-nucleotide ribosomal RNA is filed under the name uncultured bacterium. Its description in RNAcentral is "bacterial SSU rRNA". It matches the Rfam family "Bacterial small subunit ribosomal RNA", at positions 355 to 776 of the family's 1533-position model. The record is from RNAcentral.
UAGGGAAUAUUGCCUAAUGGGCGAAAGCCUGAGGCAGCAACGCCGCGUGUGCGAUGAAGGCCUUCGGGUCGUAAAGCACUUUUGGAGGGGAUGAGGAAGGACAGUACCCUUCGAAUAAGCCUCGGCUAACUACGUGCCAGCAGCCGCGGUAACACGUAGGAGGCGAGCGUUAUCCGGAUUUACUGGGUGUAAAGCGCGUGCAGGCGGUUCGGUAAGUUGGAUGUGAAAGCUCCUGGCUUAACUGGGAGAGGUCGUUCAAUACUACCGGACUUGAGUAUGGGAGAGGGAGGUGGAAUUCCGGGUGUAGUGGUGAAAUGCGUAGAUAUCCGGAGGAACACCAGUGGCGAAAGCGGCCUCCUGGCCCAUUUCUGACGCUCAGACGCGAAAGCUAGGGGAGCGAACGGG